AUUUCUUACAGCCAUUCAGCAACAGAUGAUGGCAGCUAUGAUACAAUUGGCCCAAUGUUUGCACAACAAACCGAAGGGGGAAGAUUACUUGAAGGCUGCCAGUGAUAUUAUGGUGGCUAAAUUCUCCCUCUAACGAUUUUUCACGAGGAAUCAAGUGACUGGAUUGAGCUACUAUCAACAAACCUGACUGAAUAAUAAACUUAGUAGAGCAGGUAUAAUGGUGCAGAUUAGGUGGGAUUUGUAUGACAGAUUUAAGUUGAGCAGCCAGUCCCUGUGUCAGGACAUGAAACUAAAUCAAUAGAAGCAGUGAGGGUGACUGCAUGGCUUUUCACUGUUCUCGAGGAGCACAGUAAUAAGGUAUAAUGUUCUAACUAGGUCACAUUAGAUCAAGUCAUGUUGCAACACAGUAUCUGAGUGGAUCUGUCUGGUCAUACAUGUUAUAUAAAUUAAUCACAAAAAAACAAUGUCAUGUUUCAACAGAGAAAACACGGUGUGUGAGGCACUUAAUGCAAGUACUAAAUAAAAUAUACACCCAUUUGCCACAUUAUUAGGUACACGAGUAGAGAUUAUGGCCUGAUAGAAGACUAGAGACCAUACUGUAGCUAUGCCUGAUAAAGUGGCCAGUGACAGUAAGUCUACGUAGGAACUUCUUUAGAUGCAGUAUGCUCCAAUGAUUAUGCAAAUCCUUUAAGAUACUCAUAAAUAAUCAUCCCAGUAUGUGUUUCUCAGGCAAUGAAAUUAAGGAUAUGUGUGCUCAGACAUUUAACCCUGUUACAAUGAAGACAAGUUAUGGUGCCAGUGCCUCUUCCUGUCUGUCAGCUGAGCGGCCUUUCUGUCAAAUCCCUCCCAGCAUCAGCAGCACAGAGAGCGAGGAUGGGCCGGGCUGGGCCGGGUCGAUCAGAGAGGAUCAGGACGAGGGGGGCUUAUACAACCACCGACUGUGUCAAGAGUUUCUACCUUGUGUAUUGGGAAGGUGCCUUUGGUGUCCUGCACGUAAUAUCCAAAAGGCAUUAGCUCAGUGUGGUCAUCAGGUCCGGUGCCGAUCCCACAGUCUACAUGAGAUGAAAGCAAAAGACACAGUCACUGACACUCAGAAGACAAGGUCAAUAGACUGUUUGUUCUGCAUAAACUGCUGAUGAAACUUGAUCUCAUCCUCUUUAUAGUUUCAAAUAUCAAUGAAAACAUUAAUUGUAAGCUAAUAGUGCAGUGAUGAUAAUUCAUUUUUUUAUGAAACACAGCCAUUAAACAUACA
Molecule: long non-coding RNA, 1252 nt
Filed under: Betta splendens (Siamese fighting fish)
Lineage: Eukaryota; Metazoa; Chordata; Actinopteri; Anabantiformes; Osphronemidae
Description: lncRNA (ENSBSLG00000013409.1)
Source: RNAcentral